This 1393-nucleotide ribosomal RNA is filed under the name uncultured bacterium. RNAcentral describes it as "16S ribosomal RNA". It matches the Rfam family "Bacterial small subunit ribosomal RNA". The record is from RNAcentral.
UCCUAGCUCAGGAUGAACGCUAGCGGCAGGCUUAACACAUGCAAGUCGAGGGGCAGCGGGGAGGAAGCUUGCUUUCUCCGCCGGCGACCGGCGCACGGGUGAGUAACACGUAUGCAACCUGCCCCUGUCAGGGGGACAACCCGCCGAAAGGCGGGCUAAACCCGCGUACAUGCCACCGGGGCAUCCCGGAGGCAGGAAAGGCUUCGGCCGGACAGGGAUGGGCAUGCGGCGCAUUAGGCAGUAGGCGGGGUAACGGCCCACCUAACCGACGAUGCGUAGGGGUUCUGAGAGGAAGGUCCCCCACACUGGUACUGAGACACGGACCAGACUCCUACGGGAGGCAGCAGUGAGGAAUAUUGGUCAAUGGUCGGGAGACUGAACCAGCCAAGCCGCGUGAGGGAGGAAGGUACAGAGUAUCGUAAACCUCUUUUGUCAGGGAACAAAGGCGGGGACGUGUCCCCGGAUGAGUGUACCUGAAGAAAAAGCAUCGGCUAACUCCGUGCCAGCAGCCGCGGUAAUACGGAGGAUGCGAGCGUUAUCCGGAUUUAUUGGGUUUAAAGGGUGCGCAGGCGGUCUGUUAAGUCAGCGGUCAAAGCCCGGGGCUCAACCCCGGCCCGCCGUUGAAACUGGCAGUCUCGAGUUGGAGAGAAGUAUGCGGAAUGCGCGGUGUAGCGGUGAAAUGCAUAGAUAUCGCGCAGAACUCCGAUUGCGAAGGCAGCAUGCCGGCUCCACACUGACGCUGAGGCACGAAAGCGUGGGUAUCGAACAGGAUUAGAUACCCUGGUAGUCCACGCAGUAAACGAUGAAUGCUGGCUGUCCGGGGGGACUGACCCCUGGGUGGCGAAGCGAAAGCGAUAAGCAUUCCACCUGGGGAGUACGCCGGCAACGGUGAAACUCAAAGGAAUUGACGGGGGCCCGCACAAGCGGAGGAACAUGUGGUUUAAUUCGAUGAUACGCGAGGAACCUUACCCGGGCUCAAACGGGGAGUGCCGCAGGCAGAGACACCUGUUUCCCACGGGACACUCCCCGAGGUGCUGCAUGGUUGUCGUCAGCUCGUGCCGUGAGGUGUCGGCUUAAGUGCCAUAACGAGCGCAACCCCCGCGUGCAGUUGCUAACAGAUAACGCUGAGGACUCUGCACGGACUGCCGGCGCAAGCCGCGAGGAAGGCGGGGAUGACGUCAAAUCAGCACGGCCCUUACGUCCGGGGCGACACACGUGUUACAGUGGGUGGUACAGCGGGAAGCCAUCCCGCGAGGGAGAGCGGAACUACAAAGCCUGUCUCAGUUCGGAUUGGAGUCUGCAACCCGACUCCAUGAAGCUGGAUUCGCUAGUAAUCGCGCAUCAGCCACGGCGCGGUGAAUACGUUCCCGGGCCUUGCACACACCGCCCGUCA